Molecule: ribosomal RNA, 468 nt
Filed under: uncultured bacterium
Lineage: Bacteria
Description: partial 16S ribosomal RNA
Rfam family: Bacterial small subunit ribosomal RNA
Source: RNAcentral
AACGAACGCUGGCGGCAUGCUUAACACAUGCAAGUCGAACGAAAAGGCCCGGCUUUGGUGGGGUGCUCUAGGGGCGAAGGGGUAAGUAACACGUGAGUAACCUGCACUUGACUGUGGGAUAACUUCAUGAAACUGGGGCUAAUACCGGAAAGGAGCUCCUGCUGCAUGGUGGGGGUUGGAAAGUUUCGGCGGUUGGGGAUGGACUCGCGGCUUAUCAGCUUGUUGGUGGGGUAGUGGCUUACCAAGGCUUUGACGGGUGGCCGGGCUGAGAGGGUGACCGGCCAAGCUGGGAUUGAGAUACGGCCCAGACUCGUACGGGACGCAGGAGUGGGGAAUAGUGUACAAUGGGCGGAAGCCUGACGCAGCAACGCAGCGUGCGGGAUGACGGCCUUCCGUUUGUAAUCCGCUUUCGCCUGUGACGAAGCGUUAGUGACGGUAAUGGGUAAAGAAGCACCGGCUAACUACGUG